Molecule: ribosomal RNA, 551 nt
Filed under: Danio nigrofasciatus (dwarf danio)
Lineage: Eukaryota; Metazoa; Chordata; Actinopteri; Cypriniformes; Danionidae
Description: partial 16S large subunit ribosomal RNA
Rfam family: Bacterial large subunit ribosomal RNA
Source: RNAcentral
CAGUGACAAUAGUUUAACGGCCGCGGUAUUUUGACCGUGCUAAAGGUAGCGCAAUCACUCGUCCUUUAAAUAGGGACCUGUAUGAAUGGCUAAACGAGGGCUUAACUGUCUCCCCCCUCUAGUCAGUGAAAUUGAUCUAUCCGUGCAGAAGCGGAUAUAAUAAUACAAGACGAGAAGACCCUUUGGAGCUUAAGGUACAAGAUUUAAAUCACAUUCAAGCAAGCCAAUAAAAGCAACUAACCCAUUGAACGAUAAACCUUUACCUUCGGUUGGGGCGACCACGGAGUAAAAGAAAACCUCCAAGAGGAGCGGGUAAAACCCUAAAACUAAGAGAAACAUCUCUAAGCCUCAGAACAUCUGACCGCAAAUGAUCCGGCCUUUAAGCCGAUCAACGAACCAAGUUACCCUAGGGAUAACAGCGCAAUCCUCUCUAAGAGUCCAUAUCGACGAGGGGGUUUACGACCUCGAUGUUGGAUCAGGACAUCCUAAUGGUGCAGCCGCUAUUAAGGGUUCGUUUGUUCAACGAUUAACAGUCCUACGUGAUCUGAGUU